Micropterus dolomieu (smallmouth bass) is the source of this 1475-nucleotide long non-coding RNA. RefSeq lists it as uncharacterized. The record is from RefSeq and is a predicted model, not a curated record. The transcript has 3 exons. Lineage: Eukaryota; Metazoa; Chordata; Actinopteri; Centrarchiformes; Centrarchidae.
UAUCCUCAAUUAACUAAUGCCAACUCAGAGGAUUAGCUGCGUCCAUAAGAGAAGACAGAACUGCUUUUCAGCACCUCUCUUUGUUAUUAUCAAUAGUACAUUUACUGUGUAUUCUCAACACAUGUUGACAAGUUGUGAGCAUUGCAAAUUCAGUGACAGAGUACAUGUGGCAGUGUGAGUCAAUAACUAUCGCAUGAAAGGACAGUUGUAAUUAAGCCAGCACGCAGAUUAACCAGAGAGGCACACUGAUGCUGGCUGAAGAAGGAAAUAGUGGAUUGAAAGUCUACACGGAGCAGUUUAAGUUAGAAGAAAAACACAUACUGUGUAUUUAAUGCUGUCUAUAACCCAAUUUGUUUCAGAACAGAGUCAGCUCCCUCUCCACUGUCCUGUACCUGAUAGAAGAUGCCUCCAUCAGGGAUAUCGCAGGGAGGCUUGUUCAUGUCCAGAAGGAUCACUGACAUUCCCUGGCUGGCCAGCUCUUUUCCCAACCUCAACCCUAAGUAUCCACCUCCUCCUGUCACCACCACCUUCCCUGUGGAGACACCGCGGGCCGGUGCUGCCUCCUCUCCCAGUCUGGAGGCCGCACUACCUGGGUUGCUGUAGCUGGUCGCCAUGGAUCCAUUUACCCUAUGGCAGAUGGCCUCGGUCGGGCUGGAGGCGAUGGCCGGAGCUGGGUGGCUGACCCACGGCUGGUGGGGGAGGUUGUGCAUGUGGUGUCCACUGGCCUGCAGGUGACAAAGUGGGGCACUGUGGCGGGGACGCUGCUUCACCUGGCACAGUGUGCCUCCACUCUCACUCAUGUUGGGACCACACAGCUCCAUAGAUGUCCAGAACUGUGGGGAAACAUUGGUUAUUCAUUGAUUUAGUAUAAACGUUGCAUAACUGUUGGUGUAAACUGACCCAAAACCUUUUUUUUUUGUAACAUUGGUGGUUGUGACAGGAUCUUAGAGCAACUGGGACCGUACAUCUUAUUAUUAAUUUAGGCUUGGGUAAACUUGCAGUUUACCCUUCCACCUAGCAAAAUCCAGCUGUUGUUCUCUAUUACUAUUGCAUUUUUUAGAAAGAAUAUGUCCUCCCCCCUCAUAUUUAUACAUUUCUGUCCACUGUCUGCCUUUUUCAUGCCCUCUGCGACUUUAUUUCUAAAAAUCUCCCGCAAGGAGAAAGCUGACAGCUUUGAUUGUCCCCACCAAUGGUGACAUGAAAUAGCCGCCCUUGACCAGGUAUAUUUGGGGUCUCCACUAGAAUUCCAAAUAUAAUCCAAUGCAUCUGAACUAUGUUUGGCUGCAUGGCAUGAGUUUGUGAUGACUGACUGCUGCUUGAUAAGGGGUUAAAUUGAGAAAACUGUAGAAAAUGCUGAAAUGGACAGAAUGCCAGCAUGCAUUUGGUAUAGCCUAUAAAACAACUCAAUAACAGUAUUUCAUUUUCAUCUUUUCAUUUACAUUACACAGUUUAAAGGAUUUUGUCAGUUGUGCAGA